GCCAGGCAUGGUGGUGCACACCUGUAAUCCCAGCAGCUUGGGAGGCUGAGAGAGGAGGAUCAUGAGUUCAAAGACAGACUCAGCAAUUUAGCAAGGCUCUAAGUAACUCAGUGAGAUCCUAUCUCAA
Molecule: small RNA, 127 nt
Filed under: Marmota monax (woodchuck)
Lineage: Eukaryota; Metazoa; Chordata; Mammalia; Rodentia; Sciuridae
Source: RNAcentral